CCGACGGUGAGAGGCGAAAGCCAGGGGAGCGAACGGGAUUAGAUACCCCGGUAGUCCUGGCCGUAAACGAUGCGUGUUAGGUGUUGGUAGGGCUCUGAGCCGUAUCAGUGCCGUAGGGAAGCUGUUAAACGCGCCGCCUGGGAAGUACGCUCGCAAGGGUGAAACUUAAAGGAAUUGGCGGGGGAGCACCACAAGGGGUGAAGCCUGCGGUUCAAUUGGACUCAACGCCGGGAAACUUACCGGGGGC
This 247-nucleotide ribosomal RNA is filed under the name uncultured archaeon. RNAcentral describes it as "partial 16S ribosomal RNA". It matches the Rfam family "Archaeal small subunit ribosomal RNA", at positions 691 to 937 of the family's 1478-position model. The record is from RNAcentral.